This 315-nucleotide long non-coding RNA is filed under the name Monodelphis domestica (gray short-tailed opossum). RNAcentral's name for it is "lncRNA (ENSMODG00000042108.1)". The record is from RNAcentral. Lineage: Eukaryota; Metazoa; Chordata; Mammalia; Didelphimorphia; Didelphidae.
CUUGUUCAGCCCAGUCUGGAGUGGCAUGCUCUUCUUGGGUCAGCUGGAAGAUUCAGGCCCAGUCGCUUCUGAAGGUACAGGAAACUAAAAUUGAGCAAAGAAUAGUGUUUGAAACCAGCUGGAGUCCAGCCAGACUCUACUCAACUGCUAAUCUGUACUGCUCCCCUAGGUGACAGUUGAAUGUCCUGAGAGAAGCUAAAAUUCAGGAGGCUCUACUUUCCUUUUUUAUAAAUGAGUUCAUAAGAAUACAAGGCACAGUGGAGAGCCUGUUGUUCUCAUAUAGAGGAAUAAAGAUUCAACAUACUCCUUUUGACA